CAUUAUCGAGUUUUUGAAACGGGUUGUCGCUGGUCCCAUUCUUAACAGAUUCGGGACAUGUGCACACCUGGCUUCAUUCCACUCUUCAACCCCUGUGCACUUGUUGUAGGUUUCAGGUCGGACGCGGGGCUUUCGACUUCAUCGUCGAGAGCUUCAAGGAAAGCCUGAGCCUAUGUUUUACUACACACACGCUUCAGUUAUAGAAUGUAAACAUCGCGUAUAACGCAUUUUAAAUACAACUUUCAGCAACGGAUCUCUUGGCUCUCGCAUCGAUGAAGAACGCAGCGAAAUGCGAUAAGUAAUGUGAAUUGCAGAAUUCAGUGAAUCAUCGAAUCUUUGAACGCACCUUGCGCUCCUUGGUAUUCCGAGGAGCAUGCCUGUUUGAGUGUCAUGGAAUUCUCAACCUUUGAAAGCUUUUAUUGGUUCUCAAAGGCUUGGACUUGGAGGUCGUGUCGGCUCUGCAAAGAAUAUCGACUCCUCUGAAACGUAUCAGUGCGAACCUUUACGGAUCGUCUUCGGUGUGAUAAACGUCUACGCCGUGGUCGUGAAGUAUGAUUGUGUCCGUGCUUCUAACCGUCUCCUUUGCGAGACAAAAACUGUGUUACUUACUAUAAGUAACAUAGGCAUUGACAAUCUGACCUCAAAUCAGGUAGGACUACCCGCUGAACUUAAGCAUAUCAAUAAGCGGAGGAAAAGAAACUAACAAGGAUUCCCCUAGUAACUGCGAGUGAAGCGGGAAAAGCUCAAAUUUAAAAUCUGGCGGUCUUCGGCCGUCCGAGUUGUAGUCUGGAGAAGCGUCUUCCGCGUCGGACCGUGUACAAGUCUCUUGGAACAGAGCGUCAUAGAGGGUGAGAAUCCCGUCUUUGACACGGACUACCGAUGCUUUGUGAUGCGCUCUC
This 899-nucleotide ribosomal RNA is filed under the name Phlebia cf. tremellosa RG-2014. RNAcentral's name for it is "eukaryotic LSU rRNA". The stretch from base 636 to 899 matches the Rfam family "Eukaryotic large subunit ribosomal RNA", at positions 1 to 258 of the family's 3401-position model. The record is from RNAcentral. Lineage: Eukaryota; Fungi; Basidiomycota; Agaricomycetes; Polyporales; Meruliaceae.